UGAAGAAGGCCCUUGGGUCGUAAAGCUCUUUUAUGGGGGAAGAUGAUGACGGUACCCCAAGAAUAAGCACCGGCUAGCUAUGUGCCAGCAGCCGCGGUAAUACAUAGGGUGCGAGCGUUGUUCGGAAUUACUGGGCGUAAAGGGCGCGCAGGCGGAAUAGUAUGUCGGAGGUGAAAGCCCGGGGCUCAACCCCGGAGGGUCUUUCGAAACUGCUAAUCUAGAGAGGGUCAGGGGCCGGCAGAAUUCCUGGUGUAGAGGUGAAAUUCGUAGAUAUCAGGAGGAAUACCGGUGGCGAAGGCGGCCGGCUGGGGCCACUCUGACGCUGAGGCGCGAAAGCGUGGGGGGCAAACAGGAUUAGAUACCCUGGUAGUCCACGCCGUAAACGAUGAGCACUGGAUGUCCGGAGGGUUCGACCCUUCUGGGUGUCUCAGCUAACGCAUUAAGUGCUCUGCCUGGGGAGUACGGUCGCAAGACUAAAACU
Molecule: ribosomal RNA, 481 nt
Filed under: uncultured SAR324 cluster bacterium
Lineage: Bacteria; Deltaproteobacteria
Description: bacterial SSU rRNA
Rfam family: Bacterial small subunit ribosomal RNA
Source: RNAcentral